GUUUGUUCACAGAGCUAAACACUUGGAAAAACAUUUUGGAAAAAAAAAAAUGAAAUGCUUAUUCAUGGGAAAUCUUUACUCCACCCAGGAAAAGAUAAAUGGCACUUAAGAACUACUCUUUAAGAGUGAGAUGUUUAUUGAAAUAAGGGAGGCUAAUUGUCAAAAAUGAUGAGAAACAAAUGUGAAAAGCCCUAUGUUUGGAGCUCUGGCCACAUGGAGCGUUUAAACAAGCAUAUGCUGUGUUUCAAAAGAAGAGACGUAGUUUGAAAGUUGCCAUUUUUUGGAAAAGAAAUGUUCAGUGAAAGAGAGAGAGAGAAAACAACAACAACAACAACAAUCAUGGCUGCUAACAGCAGUUCCAGAACAUAGAGUAAGAAAGAGAACAUGGCUGCCAAUGUUCUCGUCUCUGAAAGGCUGAAACUCCACUUUGAUAUCAGUUUACCUUUUUAACAAUAUUUUCAUGACAAACCAGUUCUGCUGGAGACAUGUGUUAAAGGGGGUGAUGUGUGAUUGCUGCUAGAGAUAGGAUCACGUUCUCUAUAGAUAUGAGAUGUGUAGUUCUUCUUGGUCCAGUUCUCAGUCUUUCCACUGUUUUGCCAUGAAUUCCCAGAUCAGUCUAGAAUAGAGUUGCUCAAAGUUGGCACUGUUGACAUUUUAGGGAGAAAAUGCGUUAUUGGGAAAGGGCUGUUCUGUAUGUUGUCGGAUGUUUAACAGCAUCCUGGCCUCUACACAUGAGAUGCCAGUAGCAGCCCCCACCCAUUUGUAACAACUAAAAGUGUCUCCAGACAUGGCCAGAUGUCCUCAGGGAGGCGCAAGGAAAGGAGAGAGAAUUUACUGAGGAGAGCUUUUUACAUUUAUUGCUCUAGAUGAUAAAACAUAAAUUUACGGUUCUCAGAUAAGCUGUGUAUUGUAUGUUUACAAAUGUAUUCAGCAAAUGUAUUCAAGCAAACUUCAUGACACCAGAAUAGGGUAAACUUGGUCUUAGAUGGUCCCCAUUAGAAAAGGUCAGUAAUUUAGUAGUACUUCUAUUCUUCUCAGGCAAUAGGCAUUAUUUCUGGUGCCUCUAUAGAUUGUCUACAGCCUACAUGGGCUUUGGAAUCAGACUGACCUGGAUUUUGGUGCUGGCUCCCUCACCACCAGUGUAACCAUAGGCUUAUUAUUUGACCUCUCUAAACCUCAGUUUUCCUCAUCACAAAAGGGAGUCAGUAUUGACCUAAGAGGACUAUUGUAAGGAUUAAAUAAAAUAGCACACCUUCAUAUUUACACUUGGUAAUUCCCUAAUAAAUCAUCAUUUGUUAUGAUGUGGUGCAAUCACAUUCAGGUUCAAUGAAGUAGAGAUGUCAUUUUUCUUGUUUAACCACUGAACCAAUUAUGACUGACAGAUCUCAUUAAAUAGAGCAUGUUUAAAUAACCAUACAGUAGAACCUACAAAUAAUUAGAGCUCUUUCCAGCUUUUAUUUUUGACUUGUCUUUAGUUAUCCUCAUGUUGGAUGCACAUUAGUCACUUGUUUCUGUCCCAUCAGCCCACAGUUUUGUUUUCAGUGGGAGUGCCCAGUGAAAUAAUCAACAUGAACUUAAUUGCAACUUGACAAGCUGCAGAGUUGUUUCAAUAAAUGUGCAACAUGCUGAGCUGUAUGCACUUAGAAGUCAGCAAAUGUUGACCAGUAAUAUCUUAUUUGGGAUCCACCCAGGCCCCAUAACCCAGUGAUGGCAUUCCUCUGAAAUUAGGAAGAGAUUCAAGUUGCUCAAUGCUCCAUUUUAAACAGAAAUACACCAGCAAUAUACCAGCUGCAGGAAAGAGGAUGGGAAAGAGUCUCACAGCAGUCAAGAGCAGACAAUGAUCCAAGUGACAAGAAGACACAGGCCCAUUUGGGGUGUCUCCCAUUCAUUUCUGCUGAACUUUUUCCGAAGACCAUGCUGCUCAGAAUUGUGAAAGGGGACCAAUGACUAUUAUGAGAAACAAAAUAUUCUUCUUUACAAAAGCCUCCCAGAGGAAUAGGGAUGUUUACAGCACUUGGAGAAUGGCCAAGCUGGUGUAUCUUUCAGCACAAAGUGGAGACAUGUUCAAGUCCAGUUCACAGCCUAUGGUUUGUACAUAGGCAAAGCACACCAAAUGUCUCCCUAAAGGUGGUGUUACCCGAAUAGCCCUUUGAAGGCUUCUACCUGGGGAACAUGAUUGCCCAUUGACAAUCACCUCCAUUUGAGAGACUCAUCUGCCUCAAUGCAUUGUGCAACUUCAGGAAGCCUCAUUCGAGGGCCUGAGACAAACAUCUGGAGUGUUCAGCUGAGUCAAACCAAGCCUGAAUUGUCCUACCACUGAAGACACAGCAUGAGGUAGCCAACCCAUCCCUGAGACUGCUGUGGGGGCUGAUGUCUACCUGGCUGGGCUUGUUGCAUGGAUUCCACACUGUUUUUACUAUUUACCCGCUAGUUCCUGUGGCUCUCAAUCAAUAACUUCUUUUUUGUACUGAACCUUCUCUAACAUGGACAAGGUUAAAAAGAGAAAGUGGACCUUUUCAGAGUCUAAAAGUGCUAUUGUUCACCACAUAGAACAUUUAUCUGAGAUUGUGGCUGUAUAUGAUAGGAUGUGGAGAAACUGGACAAAAAAAUAAAAUCUGACAACACAUUACAAGAGUUACAAAAACCAGGAAUGCAGAGCACUGGCUUAUCAUCUGUUGACUCUAGCAUGACCAGCUCCAAAUUUGCCUUGUGUCAAUGCAGCACAGCCCCCAACUACCCCAUAGGAAGGCAGACACGACAUGGAGACUAAGUCCUGUUUGGGUUGUUGUUUUCAUGAUGCUAAAAGAGGAUUUCACCCUGACUUAAUUUCUUUAAACUUUUUUUGAUCAAAUUCCAGGUAGCUACAGCAAUUCCACACUCAGCCAACUGAAUUGCAAGAUAAUGCAAAUAGUCUUCUACAAGCUGUUACAGUCCUGAGAGCAAUGGUUUCCUACUAAGCACUGUGGACUGUUUAGAACAGCCUAGUAAGCCUUUGAUUAGCAGUCUGGAAUCUCUUGUGGGUGCAGUACAACUCUUGAUAUAAAAUAUCACCUACCCAAUUCAAUUUGUUUGGAAUCUAGCAUGGGACUACUUGAGGCAGAAGUCAUACUCUAAGGAAACACAUUCAAAAUUUGAUUCCACAUUUGUAUGAUAUGGUGAAGAUGUUUCUCUAACCUUUAACUAGCUAUAUUCCUCUUAAUUCAAUCAUCUUUUUUGAUAUACCGAUUGGAUCAGGGUCGGCCAGGAAGCUUGCGGCAGCAGUUGCCAUCUCUGUUUCUUAGGAGUAAUCCAUCAGAGGAGACACAUGCUGCUGCUCACAGAAAUAAAUACCAAAAAACAACAUUAAAGGUUCAUCUUCCUUAGGAAGCUACAUGAAGAUGGA
RNAcentral lists this long non-coding RNA (3382 nucleotides) under Homo sapiens (human). RNAcentral describes it as "HSALNT0111871". Lineage: Eukaryota; Metazoa; Chordata; Mammalia; Primates; Hominidae. The record is from RNAcentral.